RNAcentral lists this long non-coding RNA (1785 nucleotides) under Equus caballus (horse). Its description in RNAcentral is "lncRNA (ENSECAG00000047339.1)". The stretch from base 59 to 488 matches the Rfam family "Vertebrate telomerase RNA". Lineage: Eukaryota; Metazoa; Chordata; Mammalia; Perissodactyla; Equidae. The record is from RNAcentral.
GGCGGCGGUGCUCCCUUUAUAAGGAGGUGCGGCCAGGCACGCGGCGGGUGGGGGAGAGUGGGUCUGGGCGGGGCGGCGGUCACGUUUUGUCUAACCCUAACUGAGCUGGGCGGAGGCGCCGCGCUUUUGCUCCCCGCGCGCUGUUUUUCUCGCUGACUUUCAGCGGGCGGAAAAGCCUCGGUCUACCGCCACUUACCAUCCAGUCUGGAGUAAACAAAAAAUGUCAGCCGCUGGCUCGCUCGCCCCUCCCGGGACCCUGCGACGGCUCGCCCGCCCAGCCCCCGCGCCCCGCCUGGAGGCCGCGGUCGGCCCGGGGCUUCUCCGGAGGCGCCCAAUGCCGCCGCGAAGAGUUGGGCUCUGUCAGCCGCGGGUGCCUCGGGGGCCAGGGACGAGGCUCUGGCCGCAGGGAGAGGAACGGAGCGGGUCCCCGCGCGCGGUGCGCUUCCCUGAGCUGUGGGACGUGCACCCGGGACUCGGCUCAAACACGUGCAGCCUGCUGGGGGGCUGCGGAGGCGCGGGUCCGCCUUCCUCCUGGAAGGGGGACUCUGAUCGUGCGCCACCCCCUCCCUUCGCCGCCACUGGUGGGCCUCUGGACCUCGGAUCUGCAGAUUGGACCUGGGUGCGUGCAGAUUGGCAGGACUCGUCAAGCCACCUCCAGAACUGGCCCAAAUGAGUGGGCAAUGAGCCGAGUAGCCAGCUAGCCGUUCGUGCCUGCGGUUUUGUAUCCUAUUAACCCUCCUCUGGUUUUGUUACCGUUUCUUGUAUCAGAUCGUAGUUCUUGCAGUGCGGUUUCUGUUGAGGUUUUUGCCUCUCCCAAAGGAGAUCUCGACCAGUUCCCUCAAUCGGGUGUGAAAGAGCAGUGAUUUUUUUUGCGAGAUGGUUAAACGUUUCGUUAAGUAUUUGUUAACUAGAAGAUGUAUGUUCUCAAAACAAUGAAAGUUAUGUCCUUUCACGGUCGUUGCUUUUCAUCUUAUUUGCCUCUGCCUUUGGAUGCAAAGUAUUAAGUGGUGACAGACGGAAAAGAAAUUUACAAGGAAAGCUGUAUCCCCUGCUUCCCAAAGAAUUGGGUUUGGUUUUCUUUCAGAAAAGAAAAUAAGCUGAAGGCCCACUGGGUUAAAGGAAACAACCGUCGGGCCGUUCUGCCCACGCACCCCCAAAACCUCACUCCAGGCUUGCGUGUGGAUUCGUGCCAAGUCAGUGCCGCCUCCUUAGAACUGCGAUUCUGGCAGCUGUUGCUGGCAGAGGCCAGCGGCCUGCGUUAUAAAGGCAAAUUUUCAGGGUGGUACCCAGCCCACUCCUGAGGGGUCAGUUAGGAGUACCUAGUCAGUAAAUUUGUGAAAGUGUAGUCUACAGCAUCUCAGCCUAUUACCUAAAGUAUAGUCCCUCAAUGUUGUCUAACAAAUAAAAUUCCUACCCCUGUUAUAGUUAAGAAAUGUGAAAAAACUGAACUGCGCUGUUGCUAGUCACGUUCUCUAAGUAAGAGGGGAAAAGUUUUUUCCCCAGUCGGCGUGGGUUUGUGGAAAGAACACAGGAAGGUGAUCUUUCAAGACUUCUUGAAGGCUGCUGGGGUUCCUUGAACUACGAAGACGGUGAAUGGAUGUCUUUUGUUCCUGCUCCAUCUAGCGGUGCGUUUGCUUCUUCACAUGUACAAAAUUGGGGCCCGAGGCAAGGAUGGCUGUCUACUGGGAGUGCUUUUUUCUCUUUUUCACUUUGAAAAAGAAGAUAGUGAUUUAAUAAAUAAAAAUAAGCCUUCAGCUGUUGUCUAGUUCUUAUAUUUGAAAUCCC